RNAcentral lists this non-coding RNA (80 nucleotides) under Alicyclobacillus sp. RNAcentral describes it as "ZTP sequence". It matches the Rfam family "ZMP/ZTP riboswitch aptamer (pfl RNA motif)". Rfam says of the family: Previously known as pfl RNA. ZMP is also known as AICAR. The record is from RNAcentral. Lineage: Bacteria; Bacillati; Bacillota; Bacilli; Caryophanales; Alicyclobacillaceae.
UAACCUUCGCAUAACUGGCGGAAGUGGGAUUACCACAAGGGAGUGCGAAAGGAUGUAUGCCGGCCGCCUGGGCGCCUCUU